UCAUACCCGUUCCCUUUCCGAACACGGAAGUCAAGCCCCUCAUCGCCGAUGGUACCUGGCCCACGGGCCCGGGAGAGUAGGUCGCCGCUGGAU
Molecule: non-coding RNA, 93 nt
Organism: Fibrobacter sp.
Lineage: Bacteria; Pseudomonadati; Fibrobacterota; Fibrobacteria; Fibrobacterales; Fibrobacteraceae
Source: Rfam